CGCCACCCCGAGUCCCGAUGGAGACCCCGAGUCCCGAUGGAGACCCCGGGAGAUGCGCCCUCGGGGCUCCUCUGCCCAUGGGGUCACUGCAGAGCGUGUGCCUGGAGCUGAGUCUGCGCUCGUGUCCACCUGUGGUUUCUGGCGGUUUGGUGGCGCUGGGGCACCUCUGGGUGAUGCUAGACUAUGAAUUGCCCAAGGCCAUGAGCAGCUGCUGAGCAUCAUCUUGUGAUCACUCCACCAAAAGCCAGGCAGGUAGGCAGUGUGACUGCCAAGGACGUGAAGCCGACAGUCAGCAGCGUUGUUGACCACACAAAGGAAAGGAAGAGAAAGCAGGGAUGAGGCACGAGCCUGAUGAAGCUGUGCGCCUGCCCGGGAAGUUGAAAUCUUCUCCUCCGUGAUUGUCUUUCCUACGACCCGGGUCCUGCAGCUAAGCGUGCUCUCCAGCAGGUCCAGCCAAUAGCCCCACCUCUCCUGAUGAGAUGGGAAGGACUCACGUGUGCCUUGAAAUUCCAGAGCAUCCACCUUCUGCCCAAGCCCCGAGGAGAUUGAAGAUCUCACAUCUUUCCUCGCUGCAUCUUGCACGGGCCGGAGUAGAGCAAAUUACCUUGGCGAAAUAUGUCCUUCCCAACCGUUAACACUUUGGGAAAGAGAGUAAAGCGACAGAUCGGAGCAGAAUAUUUUGAAGAUCGUCCAGAAAUAGUGUGCUACUGGCUAACCUGUUAUGUAGAUCCAGGAGUGUCCGGGUGUUGGCACCGUCUUCCUUCAAUAGCAAAUGAUUUCGGGUGAGGACUCCCCCUGAUGAAGGCCCCGGAGCUGCCCUGGGACAGUGAUGCCAGGAGAGGAGAGCAAGGCGGUGGGAGGGCUGGCAUUGGAAGAAUCGGGGCUUGUCUAUGGGAAUGGGGGGGAUGCGUCAAUCCUACUGCUGGUUACUUUGAAA
This 937-nucleotide long non-coding RNA is filed under the name Equus caballus (horse). RNAcentral's name for it is "lncRNA (ENSECAG00000027791.3)". The record is from RNAcentral. Lineage: Eukaryota; Metazoa; Chordata; Mammalia; Perissodactyla; Equidae.